RNAcentral lists this ribosomal RNA (210 nucleotides) under uncultured bacterium. RNAcentral's name for it is "partial 16S ribosomal RNA". It matches the Rfam family "Bacterial small subunit ribosomal RNA", at positions 28 to 225 of the family's 1533-position model. The record is from RNAcentral.
GACGAACGCUGGCGGCGUGCUUAACACAUGCAAGUCGAGCGGUAAGGCCCUUUCGGGGGUACGACGAGCGGCGAACGGGUGAGUAACACGUGGGUGACCUGCCCUCAGCUCUGGGAUAAGCCUGGGAAACUGGGUCUAAUACCGGAUGUGACCACAUGUCGCAUGGUGUGUGGUGGAAAGUUGUGCUCUUCGGGGUGCUUCGGUUGGGGA